This 463-nucleotide ribosomal RNA is filed under the name uncultured bacterium. Its description in RNAcentral is "bacterial SSU rRNA". It matches the Rfam family "Bacterial small subunit ribosomal RNA", at positions 329 to 792 of the family's 1533-position model. The record is from RNAcentral.
UUCCAGACUCCUACGGGAGGCAGCAGUGGGGAAUAUUGCACAAUGGGGGGAACCCUGAUGCAGCGACGCCGCGUGGGUGAAGGAGCACCUCGGUGCGUAAAGCCCUAUCGGCAGGGAAGAAAAGCGAACAGGUUCGCCUGGACGGUACCUGACUAAGAAGCCCCGGCUAACUACGUGCCAGCAGCCGCGGUAAAACGUAGGGGGCGAGCGUUGUCCGGAAUGACUGGGCGUAAAGGGUGCGUAGGCGGCAUAAUAAGUUAGAAGUGAAAUACCCAGAGCUUAACUCAGGUGCUGCUUCUAAGACUGUUGAGCUUGAGUGCGGGAGAGGUUAAUGGAAUUCCUAGUGUAGCGGUGGAAUGCGUAGAUAUUAGGAGGAACACCAGAGGCGAAGGCGAUUAACUGGACCGUAACUGACGCUGAGGCACGAAAGUGUGGGUAGCAAACAGGAUUAGAUACCCGUGUA